UUGAUCAUGGCUCAGAGUGAACGCUGGCGGCAGGCCUAACACAUGCAAGUCGAACGGCAGCACAGGAGAGCUUGCUCUCUGGGUGGCGAGUGGCGGACGGGUGAGGAUAACGUCGGAAUCUGCCUAUUUGUGGGGGAUAACGUAGGGAAACUUACGCUAAUACCGCAUACGACCUACGGGUGAAAGCGGAGGACCUUCGGGCUUCGCGCAGAUAGAUGAGCCGACGUCGGAUUAGCUAGUUGGCGGGGUAAAGGCCCACCAAGGCGACGAUCCGUAGCUGGUCUGAGAGGAUGAUCAGCCACACUGGAACUGAGACACGGUCCAGACUCCUACGGGAGGCAGCAGUGGGGAAUAUUGGACAAUGGGCGCAAGCCUGAUCCAGCCAUGCCGCGUGUGUGAAGAAGGCCUUCGGGUUGUAAAGCACUUUUGUACGGGAAGAAAAGCACCUGGUUAAUACCCGGGUGUCAUGACGGUACCGUAAGAAUAAGCACCGGCUAACUUCGUGCCAGCAGCCGCGGUAAUACGAAGGGUGCAAGCGUUACUCGGAAUUACUGGGCGUAAAGCGUGCGUAGGUGGUUAGUUAAGUCUGAUGUGAAAGCCCUGGGCUCAACCUGGGAAUUGCAUUGGAUACUGGCAGUCUAGAGUGCGGUAGGGUA
RNAcentral lists this ribosomal RNA (656 nucleotides) under uncultured bacterium. RNAcentral describes it as "bacterial SSU rRNA". It matches the Rfam family "Bacterial small subunit ribosomal RNA", at positions 13 to 658 of the family's 1533-position model. The record is from RNAcentral.